This is a small nuclear RNA of Neogale vison (American mink), 106 nucleotides long. The record is from Ensembl. Lineage: Eukaryota; Metazoa; Chordata; Mammalia; Carnivora; Mustelidae.
GUGCUGAAUUUGGCAGCACAUAUACUAAAAUUGGAACAAUACAGAGAAGAUUAGCAAGGCCCUGUGCAAAGAUGACACAAAUUCAUGAAACAUUCCAUAUAUUUUU